CUGUCGAUGAGGCUGUAGAGGAGCUCCUUCCCACUGCAGCACUCAGAGAUCAGCACCAGGUAGCGGGGUGUGACGUAGGCCUCGUGCAGUGCCAUGAUCUUGUCAUGGUGGAGAGACUUAAGGAUGUCGUACUCCUGCAGCACCGUCUGUUUAUUGUCGGCCUCAUAGGGUACGAUCUUAGCCAUAAACAGGUUGCCGGUGGCAUUCUCUCUACACUCUCGGAUCACGCCGAAGCGACCCCUUUGAGGCAAACAAAGAGACCGUGACCUUGAAGUGAAACCUAAUUAAAGCUUGCAGGUAUUUAGAAAAUUACCUUUAAAUGCCUUCACCUUUAUGUUAUAAACGUCUGACACACAGAACUAGAGCAAAAUCUAUAAUUUAAAAAGCCCAUUAAAAUGAUUGAUAAUGAUAAAAAGAUUAUAAUAACAUACUAUAUUAUUAUAUUCCACAGUUAUGGGAAACCUACGGAAGCCCUGAAGCCCAUGCAGUAAAAUAACAAACGUAGUCUCUGGGCCCACAUUAUCUCGUUUGAGCGAAUUAUGAGACAAUCCUGUUUUGUAUAACAUACAAUGUUUUAUAAUUUCAGCAAAAUGUCAUGGCACACUUGAUGCGUCCUCACCUUAUGCCAACAUGCUAUUGUUCAGCCAAUUGCUCACUGUUCUGUAUUAAUGCUCUGGAGUUCAUAGGUUUCCUUGCUUUAAGGUUUCAAAUAACUAUAAAUGAACAAUAAUAUAGACCAACCAAUGGAUGGAAUCAAAGAACGAUGGGCUGUAACAAACAUUACAUGGCCUUGUAAUGCUGCUGCAUAAUGAAUUUGGCCUAAUUAGACAUACUAAUGAUCAUCUUGUUUCAAUGACUUAGCAAAAAUAAAUAAGUAGUAAAAAAACAAUGUACACUUAUAUUUCCAUAUUUCUUUUUACUAAGUCCUUCAAACGAGAUAAGUUGUUCAAACGAGAUACUAAGUCGUUCAAACAAGAUAAACUUAGUCUCUGGGCCCAACAUUUUUUUUUACAGCUUGGGCUUCAGGGCUUCCGUGAAAACCUUAUGGGUCUUAAAUGGAACAACUACAUAUUUACUGUUUUCUCAACAUUCAUAAUAAAACAUUAUAAUAUUAUACAGCAUAGUGGUGCAAAGAAAAAUUUAGGAGGAUGUUUGCAUUAAUUACAUGUUACUUUACAGUGGUAAGAAUUACACAGUGCUAGCAUUGUGGACACGACAUCCUGUACCUGGCCUUCUCCUCCAUGAAGGUGUAUGGUUUCUGGGGCACUCCCUGGCGCAGGGAUCCCUCACCAGGACGUCCGCCCAAGGGUGUCCUGCGUCCUGAUGGGGUGGAACGUCCGUAGGAGGUUGUCUGCCCAGAUGGAGUCAGACGUGCGGGCGUAACCCCCCCCUCUCCUACCGGACUUGUGCUGGACACCAGCACCACCGGGGGUGAGAUGACAGGGGACAGAGAGGUAGGCGUGACGGCAUCCGAUACAGGCGUAUACAUGGGUACCGACGAAAUCGGUUUGCCGAUAGGGGGGGGGGGGGACCACCACCGGGGGCGGGACCUUAAUCAUGGGUGAGACAAUAUUGAUGGGACUCUGGGGUUUGGGGUGAACGGCUGGGGGAGCAGGCUUGGUUACAGUUGCCGGUGGAGAUGGUGUCGGUUUCUUGACACUGAUGUUGAUGGUGGUCUUGGCUUUAGUCGGGGUUGGAGCGGACUGAGGUAGAGGUGGGCUUUGCGUCUCGGAAGUGGAUUGAGUGGACGAGGCUGCACUAACGACAAUGGGCGCGGAGCUGGUGCUGGUUAGGAUCUGAGGGACUGAAGGCUUGGAUUCAACAGGUUUAGAAGCAGGGCUUGAUGAAGCGAUCAACUUGGCCACUGGAACAGGAGGAGAGGGAGCAGACACUUGGGGGGUUGGGGUCUGCGUGAGUGGGGCAGAAGAUGAGCCCUGUGGUGGCACUUUACUAGGUGCAGGCUUCAUGGAGGGGAUGAUCAUCGAUGAUGUUUUGACCGCUGGUGCUACAGGGACCGUCUUGACAACAACUGAUUUGCUAGAGUUUGCUGGCGCUGGGGAUUC
Long non-coding RNA from Esox lucius (northern pike), 2063 nucleotides. The record is from Ensembl. NCBI's taxonomy places the organism in Eukaryota, Metazoa, Chordata, Actinopteri, Esociformes, Esocidae.